GGCAGCUCUGAACUUGGCUGCCUGCACUGGUCACCUGAUGGCAAUGGCAGCAGUGUGGGAUCAUGAGAGUGGUGUCCAUGAAACAGGAACCCUCGAGGAGCUGUAGCAGAAAUCAAGAAUGGACUGCAGCUGCCCAUGUAUCAAGUGCUCCUCUGUCUCCAGCUCCCUGGGCUGAAUAUUUCAAGGGAAGGAACCAUGACUGAAGAUCAUCUCUUCCCCAAGUUAUGUCUCCUCACUGUCACCAUAAAUUAGCUUUGGAAUGUGGUUGGAGAUUGUUUACCCAGAGGUGAUUGUUUCAUUGGUUUCUGCUGUGAGUUGUUUUGACUUUAUGGCCAACUGGGGCCAGGCUUUGUAG
Onychostruthus taczanowskii (white-rumped snowfinch) is the source of this 355-nucleotide long non-coding RNA. RefSeq lists it as uncharacterized. The transcript is spliced from 3 exons. NCBI's taxonomy places the organism in Eukaryota, Metazoa, Chordata, Aves, Passeriformes, Passeridae. The record is from RefSeq and is a predicted model, not a curated record.